UUCCAGCUCCAAAAGCGUAUAUUAAAGUUGUUGCAGUUAAAAAGCUCGUAGUUGAAGUUCUGGCUGUAUUGGGCCUUUGCACUUGAUGCGAAGGAACCAGCAGUCAUCCGCUUGCAAAUACAAACCUUCCUUAACUGGUAGGCUGUAUAAGCAAGCACUUUACCUUGAGAAAAACAGAGUGUUCCAGACAGGUUUGUCCGGAAUGCGUUAGCAUGGAAUAAUAGAAUAUGACUGAAGUCGAUUUAUUGGU
This 250-nucleotide ribosomal RNA is filed under the name uncultured archaeon. RNAcentral describes it as "partial 16S ribosomal RNA". It matches the Rfam family "Eukaryotic small subunit ribosomal RNA", at positions 583 to 848 of the family's 1831-position model. The record is from RNAcentral.